Molecule: ribosomal RNA, 498 nt
Filed under: uncultured bacterium
Lineage: Bacteria
Description: partial 16S ribosomal RNA
Rfam family: Bacterial small subunit ribosomal RNA
Source: RNAcentral
AUUGAACGCUGGCGGCAUGCCUUACACAUGCAAGUCGAACGGUAACGCGGGGCAACCUGGCGACGAGUGGCGAACGGGUGAGUAAUGCAUCGGAACGUGCCCAGAAGUGGGGGAUAGCCCGGCGAAAGCCGGAUUAAUACCGCAUGAGACCUGAGGGCGAAAGCGGGGGAUCGCAAGACCUCGCGCUUUUGGAGCGGCCGAUGUCAGAUUAGCUAGUUGGUUGGGUAAAGGCCUACCAAGGCGACGAUCUGUAGCUGGUCUGAGAGGACGACCAGCCACACUGGGACUGAGACACGGCCCAGACUCCUACGGGAGGCAGCAGUGGGGAAUUUUGGACAAUGGGCGCAAGCCUGAUCCAGCCAUGCCGCGUGCGGGAAGAAGGCCUUCGGGUUGUAAACCGCUUUUGUCAGGGAAGAAACGCUCUGGGCUAAUACCCUGGGGUAAUGACGGUACCUGAAGAAUAAGCACCGGCUAACUACGUGCCAGCCGCCGCGGUAA